Molecule: transfer RNA, 69 nt
Filed under: Tachypleus gigas (Indo-Pacific horseshoe crab)
Lineage: Eukaryota; Metazoa; Arthropoda; Merostomata; Xiphosura; Limulidae
Description: tRNA-Ser
Source: RNAcentral
GACUAUUUAGCUAUAAUAUAAGCUUUUGUUUUGAAAACAAAAAAAAGAAAUUAAACCUUCUAAUAGUCU